UCGGGAAUUUUGGGCAAUGGGCGAAAGCCUGACCCAGCAACGCCGCGUGAAGGAUGAAGUAUUUCGGUAUGUAAACUUCGAAAGAAUAGGAAGAAUAAAUGACGGUACUAUUUAUAAGGUCCGGCUAACUACGUGCCAGCAGCCGCGGUAAUACGUAGGGACCAAGCGUUGUUCGGAUUUACUGGGCGUAAAGGGCGUGUAGGUGGCAAGGUGUGUCUGACGUGAAAGCCCUCGGCUUAACCGAGGAAGUGCGUCGGAAACUACCUAGCUCGAGUGCGAGAGAGGAUGGCGGAAUUCCCAGAGUAGAGGUGAAAUUCGUAGAUACUGGGAGGAACACCAGAGGCGAAGGCGGCCAUCUGGCUCGUAACUGACACUGAGACGCGAAAGCGCGGGGAGCAAACAGGAUUAGAUACCCAUGUAGUCCCUGAGCGGGCUGGCAAGGCGCAU
RNAcentral lists this ribosomal RNA (447 nucleotides) under uncultured bacterium. RNAcentral's name for it is "bacterial SSU rRNA". It matches the Rfam family "Bacterial small subunit ribosomal RNA", at positions 355 to 825 of the family's 1533-position model. The record is from RNAcentral.